GGCUUGAUAGCUCACAUGAUAGUAGAGCAUUGCACCAGUAUCACAAGGUCCCGGGUUCGAAUCCCAUGUCAAGCCU
Molecule: non-coding RNA, 76 nt
Organism: Desmophyllum pertusum
Lineage: Eukaryota; Metazoa; Cnidaria; Anthozoa; Scleractinia; Caryophylliidae
Source: the annotation of a GenBank genome assembly